CUCCCGCCCUUAAUUUUUAAAUUUUUUGUAGAGAUGGGGUCUCACUAUCUUGCCCAGGCUGAAUGGAGUAGGGUGCUUUGAAUCAAACUAGACAAUAGCCUAGUAUUACAAACCACAGCAUUCCCUUUUACAAAAUAAGAAGCAGGAAUAUGUGCCCAAAGUCACUUUUUCUCAAACUAAGUAACAGGUAUUUUGAAACAUAACUGACUGGCCAGUACCCUUGUGGUUAACUGAUACUCACCAGAUAAUGUGAUUUUAACAUAACUCCUUAAAACACAGCAACUCCUUAUAAAAUAUAACUCCUAUUCCACGUAGUAUUUUCAUAUAGACUCUAUAAAUUAAUCUUGAAGAUAAUGAAAUUAAAGAAUACACAGUAGUAACCCACUUAAUAAAAUGAAUAUAUUCAAUUAGAUGAAAAUGCAAUUUCUAUAGCAAAGCAAUUUUUCAUUAGUUUAUACUUAAAAUUUCAGAAAUGAUUUACCCUCAUUUCUGCUUACUAUUCAAGCAACAGUGAUUUCCAACAUUUUAAGCCUCGAGUUUUCUUGUGUCUCUUUUAGCCCAGGGUAGGAAGUGACUUUACAAACACUUAAGUACAUCAGAAGAGCUUUCUAUUUAAAGCAAUUCUUCAGUGAAAUCUUCUCACCAUUUACUUUACGAACUUUGCAUAUUCGGUUUUUUAAGUAUUAAAUUUCUUAAAAUUUGGCACAUUAGUAAAGUAAAAAUAGUAUGUGUCCCUAGAAGACAAAACAACAAAUAUACACCAGAAAAAUAAUAAGGUUUAAAACAUACAGGAGACACUGUACCCUCCACUAUAAAGAAUGCAAAAAUAUGAUAUGGGAUACCUAAAGAAAAAGAUUUUUCUUAUAAAUUAAAAUAUGCUCACAUCACCAUAUUAUAUUUUGAAGAAAGAUUAUCUCUAUUUUUGAGAUGACAGAUCUAAGGUUGUAAAGCAGAAUACUUGUUUUCAGCUCUCAGCUAUUAUUUUUGUCUGUAGUCUGCUGCACUAUCUUUCUCCUUUGCCAUAUGCAUUGUAGGUGGGAUGUUUCCUGUUGUUACUAUGUCUAGCUUUGCAGACUCAAUUUUCAAACAGUUUAUUUACUUCUCAAAGUGUGAUCCUAUAAUUGUGCUUUGCUGUCCCCAAGUCAAAGUAAGUAUUAGGAUGUGUACUCAGUUUUUCUAUUUAAUAUAUAUUUUUGAAACAAAAAUCAAACCCUUCGUUAACCUGGUAUAAUUUAAACAGUAACAUCAAAAACCAAAUUAAAAAAAUACAAUGGACAGUAAGAUAAAAUCACCUAACUUCCUUACAAAUCUUUAUCCGUUAGUUUAGUCAAAACCUUACAUGUGAUUGAUGGGAUAUGCUUUCUAACUUAUUAUAAACUCUUUUAUUAUCAGAUACAGUGAAGAUUAAUUCACAGUAAGAAGAUUACAAACUGGUGUUACAUCAAAACCAUCCCAGGAAAAAAAAAUGUGUCCUUAAUUUCCCCAAUCCUCAAGUUUUCUUUUUCUUUUCCUUUUUUUUUUUUUUGUCAGCAAUCAUAAGACUGUACUUAUUAAAUUCAAGGUAAUUAAAGAAAACAACCUUCUUUACCGAGAAAAAAGAAAAAAGAUACAACCCUGAAAAGUUUUUGUAGAGAUGAGAUUUAGGAACCAUAGUACCAACAUAGUUUGCUUCCAGGGACAUAAGACUCCUGUUUAGAAAUUUUGUAGAUGUAUGGAACUUAGCAAAGUCCUGAAAGAUUUAGUAAAUGCUAAAAGAAACUGAAAAGAAAUGUAUAAAACAAGCAUAAAAGAAGUUUUAAAAAUGUGAUUCCUCCUGUUAUAUAGACUACACUGAAAUCCAGUGUCUGGUUGAACUUUCUAGGCAUCCUGCCUGACUUUCUUCUCUUUCACAUUCCUGCUUUAUUUCUUAUGGCAGAUAUUAUUACACUAGGAGGCAGGGGACCGAGGUACCAGAUAUACCAGUUGUUAUAUAACCUUGGAUAAGAGACCUUUUCUGGGUCUCUUUCUCCUGAUCCAAAACAUUGAGAGAAUGAAAAAUUAAUGCUUUUAUUAUUAUCACCUAGAAAUGUUUGCUUUACAACUCAACUUGUAUCUGCAUUCUCUAAAUAGCUGAAAAGAACUGUUUGUUCUUUUGUAAUGUAUAUCACUCAUAAAUAUUUCCUUAGUAUUGGUCUUCAGUGGAAAGACUAUAAGCUCCAUAGUCCUUGCCUGUCUUAUUCAUAGGUGAAUAACUGGCAUACAGUAAGUACUUAAUAUUUUUAGAAUGAGUAACUGAAUUAAUGAACAUUUAUGCUUCUCUACAUCACUAUGAAAAACCUGAGCUUGCUUCUCAAGUCCUGGGACUUUCUGUAAAUGCAUUUUUCCUAACUGCAUUUAUAAUGCGAAUACACUGCACAUUCUGUUUUUUCUCUUUGAGAAAAAUUUCUGCUUAUGAAAAUAUUACUAUUCUCUUGAAUCAGGAUUUGAUGUCUCUUAGCAGCUGAUGUUAACCUUAAUAGUUUAAGAUGUCUCUAACUGUCUCAUUUAAAGAUAAUAAUAUUUUUCACAAGGCAUAACUUUAAAAAAGCAUAUGUAAAUAUAACUUGAUAUUUUUUAGCAGACAUUUAAAGUGGUUUAAUUACAUCAGGAUUUACAAAAUAAUAUGAGUUUUCAAACUGGGUUACUGGGUGAUUAGGUUUCCUGAUUCUAUGCAGAAUGAAUAUAUGAAAAUACCAAAAAAGAUUUUAGAACAUUUUGUAGAACUUGUUUAUAACAUUUAAGCAUUAUUUCAUAUGAAAAAUACCAGGGAUGUUGUGUACCAGAAUCCAGUCAAUACUUGGUUAUUUGAAACAAACAAAUUAUCUUUGUUUAGUUUUCUACAAUAAAAGUGGCCUUUAUGUAAAAAUCUCCAUUAAGUGUUUGCAAUUUUUAGAGUAGUAUACUAAAUGUUAAGUUUGGUUAUUUUGGAAGAGAAAAUUCAUUCUGCCUUUACAUAAAAACCCUACGUCUUAAGCAAUUAUGAGCAUAAAUUAUAAAUUUGAAAUUACUUUUGUUAUCUACGCAACCAUUUAUAAUUAUCUCUUUAAAAAUGCUUCUGAGUGUUUUGAUUGCCAAUAUUUAUUAUUUUCUGGGUCCCCCAACCAAACUGUUCAUCAGUUUCUUAAACUUAUGAGUUACACACUCUGUAAUAGUUUAAAUAAGAAAAAAUAAAAACCUAUUUAAAAUGUUCUUUAAUAUGAAAAUUAAAACAUAGAUACUGUUCACCUUAUAAAUCUAGUGCUGUUCAAAACCUCAUUGCUCACUAAUUUAUUCCCUGAAACUUGGAAUCACUUAAUAGAAAUGAAAUACUAAGAAUGACAGUUAAGUUUCUAGGAUGGCUCACAGGAGCACUGAGCCCAUAUAUAGUACUAGAGUACUGACUAUGAGAAAUAGGAGUUUUUGACCUAGUUCAUCAAAGAUGGAGAAAAAGCCAGUUGAUGGCUAAAAAAGAUAUUCAGCCCUUAAAUGUCCUAAGGGAUGGCUAGCCCAAUACUUAACUUUAAUUGUCUACACCCAUUUAAAUCAAACUUUUCAAGUAAUCUUUGAGUGAACCAACCUUAAGUAAGAGGAUAUAUCCAAAGCAGACACAAGCUAAUACAAUUUUAAACAACAGAAGAACAUAUCUUUACAUUUACUUUGCCAACUAAUGGUUUUGUUGUUUGAAUUCUCAAUGAGGAGAAUGUCAACUAAUAGUUUUGUUGUUUGAAUUCUCAAUAAGGAGAACAGAUAGCUUGGCUCAACACAUUGGCACAUGGAAUAUGUUGGGUUCUAAUUUUAGUCUUUCCACUGACUUUCUUAUUGCUAUACUUUAAAAGGUCCUAAACACUCUGUAUGUCUGUUUCUUUAUGAGAAACAACAAAGAUAUUUUUCCCACUAUCUCCCUCAACAAGAAGUAAAACAAUAAUGUAAAGAAUCUGGCAAAUGUAAAAAGACACAUAAAAGUGUCAUUUGAAAAGUCUGGUAUACAUUUCAAAGAACUAUAAAUAGAAUUUGUUUUAUUGUACCAAAUGAAAUAUUACCAAGUUAAAGAUUUACCAUAAUAUACUAGUCACUAUUUUCUAUAGUACAACUAAUAUAAAGACAACACAUAUAAUCACUAUAACAGUUAAUACUUUUGUGUCACUUAGCAUGAACCAGGCAUUUUUAAAGCAUUGUAUAUAUCUAAAGCAUUGAUUAUAUCUAAACUCACUAAAUAACCCUGAGGUGGACACAACUGACUAGGCCCAUUUUACUAAUGAAGAGACUGAGGCACAGAAUAUCCCAUAGCUAGUUAAGUGGUGGAGCAGGGAUUUGAAUCCAGACAGUCUGGCUCUAGGGUCCGUGCUCUUAACGUUUUUGCAAUAUUGCCUACCUAAUGUGAGGAAACAAAGACAAGGAAAGAAAAUAUAUUUACAUAUUUGUUCACUUAAUAACAAUCACCAAAACCAAUGCUGUAAGUUAUGAGAAUAUUUACAUUAACCAAGUUGGGGAGCAUUUAUUCAAAUUUCUCCACCAUCUGAGUUUCAUGUUUACAGAUGUCCACUUUGUGGGUCUUACUGUGUUGGCAAAGUGCAGAACAGCACAAAAAUGAAGUAUAUCAGUCCUCAGAAAAAUGUAGGAGUUCAAGAAAGCUUUAAAAUAGCUUUAAGAUUAACAGAUAAUUUUAUUUCUAAAAAAAGAAAAAAUUUUUAACGCAUAACAUACAGAUUAUAGAACAGUUAUUAAUAGUAAUAUAAUUUCAUUUUCCUUCUCGCCUUCUACUAUUACUAAUAGUGCACCCUGCUUAUUCAACGAAGACUUGCACAUAUCUUCCCUCUCUUAGAAUUAAUUCAUCUUUGUGAUAUUUUGUUAUUAAUAAAGGUAACAAUCCAUUUUUUUCAUUUUUUUUCAUCUACUAUGGUAGUAGAUGCUAUUAGUAAUAGGAGAGAAGGAAAAUGAAAAAAUUUAGUGAAUGUCCACAACAUUCUAGGACUUCAUACUCUAUCAUUCAUAGUCAUGACAACUCUGAGAUAUGCAUUACCAUACUAAUUUUACUGAUAAACUAAAGUUCAGAACUUUAACAGCUCGUUAAAGGUUCUAUAUUGUAGUAUUCAGUCUAUGGAGCCAAUGCUCAAACCCAGGAAUGUCUCUGAAAGCUCUACAGGUUGUCGCCUAUUAAUAAAAAGGGUAUAAUGUUUAUCAUUGGUCAUCUGUGAGUAAUAGUAAUUAGAAGAGUGUAAAAACAUAUUGAUAAGCUCAGCACUUAACUUUAAAAAUAAUUUUCAUGACCUUUCUUUCUCAAAGCCGCUAAGGAUGCAACAAAAGAAAAUGAUGUUUGUCUCACUUUUGUAUUCUUCACGUUAAAUUUUUGGGUAGGUGUUUAUAAGCAGUGAAAUAUGAAGAAACACUUCAUUAAGUAUGUUCCUCAGAAUGUUUGUUUGUUAUAAUGAUAAAAUAAGAUAAUGUCUACAAGACUUUUAGCACAAUGAGUGGCGCAAAGUACUCAAUAAAUGUUAGUGACCAUUAUUAGAAGUUCAGAAGAAUUACAUAUUAAGACCCCUUGAAAAAAUAUUGCAGUAAAAAUGUUUAUCCAGCAUUCGUUAAUCAUAAUCAUGGUUUUUAAACCUUAUUUGAUGAAGCAGCCUUUUGGGUUUUUUCAGGUGCGAGGAUAAUCAUACCUAUUAAGUUAUCACAGAACUAGAGGACCUUGGAAUACGCUUCGCUAAACAACAGUAGAAAGCUGUAAAAUAGAAGAAACGUAUCAAUCCCUGAAAAAUGCACAAGUGAAACUUCAUUUCUAUUUAAGAGAUGCCAAUCUGCUGUAAAAGCAUGGUCUGCUGUACCUGAGAAUGCGAGAAAAUUAAGUUCAAGAUCACCUGAUGAAGUACCUUCAUCAAUUUUCAACUUCAAGCAUUGGCAGAAUUCAUCAACUGUUAUGUGGUGCCAGCUAAGGAUCUUCUAAGCUGUCCAGCUGAAUGUGUCCCUCACCAUCAUUUGUUAGAAUCUCUUGCACCAGCCUAAUGCACUUGAAGUAAGGCUUUUUUCUUCAUUAUUCACAGCUUAGUCAAUCAUACCCAGGACAUUCUCUUUUGAAUACAUAUAGACAUAACUUUUAAUCUCCUUCCUUUUCUUUUCUAACUUCUACCUGGUUAUAUUUAUGACACUACGUUGACUGGUUUCCAAUGUUAUUUCUGUUAAAAGGGUUUCUUAUGAGACCUGUCACUGUAACCAUGAUUCUAUGGGAAAAAGCAUUAUUGGUUUUAAACUGAAAUAAAAAUGAACUUCUAUAACACAAAUCUUUUAUAAUUAAUAGUAGGUUUUUCUUGUUAAACCUAAGGAACAUUAGUCUAAGUUUAAAUAUUAAACCUAAGGAUAAAGGAAAGCUUGGCCUACACAAAGUUCUGCAGUUUGGCUCCUACAUAACUCCCUAGCAUCAUCACUUACCAUGCAAACUCUUGCUCUAAACUUCUGCCACAUUGACCUUUGUUUAAUAUUCGGUACUAUGCUUCCUCCCACCUCAGAACCUCUGUAUAUGCUAUUCCUUCUUCCCAGAAAACUCUUUUCUUCAUCUUGAUCAAAUUAACUUACUUGAGAUCUCAGCUAAAUAAACACUUCCUCCAAAAAAAAAUUCCUCUUGAUCGCACUGAGUAAAUUCUCCUUCUAAAAGCCCUCAUAUUACGUACCUCUCUACAGCAACUGAAACAGUUCCAACUUUGCAUUUAUUUGUAUGAUUAUUUCAUUAAUAUCCUUUUCUAUCUUUAGAUAUAAGUUCCGGGAGAUCAAGACCUAUGUCUAUUUUUGCUCACUAUCCCAGUGAGCACAUAAUAGUAACAACACAUGUUUGUCAAAGAAAGACACUGGCAAACCCUUUGUGAAAAAGAGAUAAACACUGAGUCAACAAUAACCACCGUUUAAAGAAAUUCACUAUGACAUUUUAGCUAAAAAAAAUACAGAGCCAUAUUAGAACUCUUUAAACUUUCAGAAGAAAUAAAAAAGUUCAAUUUCUGGUAGUAGGUGAAGACUGGAUGGUAAUUUACAUCAUAGGGGUACCUGGAAAUAAAUUAGAUGCAAACAAAACUUAUAAAGAAAAUGGAGAAAACAUAAGCUGCAUCCUUUGUUACUUUCAGCAUUUAUAGAUGAUUUAUAGUUUUAAUUGUGUACUAUUUACUAUUGAUCCUAGGGAUCAACCUGGGUAAAAAAUUUAUUUGUGAAAGAAAAAAGAACCUUAGCUAGUAUUCUUGCAUGUUUGCUGCCUUAACUAGUGUUUUCAUUUCCAACUCAUAUUCAGAAAACACUUCAGACUCCAAUGGACUCUCUAGUCAUAAUUGCAAGGACCUAUUCAUUUCCUUAUUUUUUGUGCAAAUAAUUUUUCCCCCUUUCUCUACUUCUUUCUUUUCGAAACUACAUUCAGGGAAAUAAAAUUUUAGAACCAUAAAAGUAAAGGUACGGUAUAUUAUUUCAAAUCAUUUCCCUAAUUUACCAGGCUACUCUGAAUUUUAAUCCCAGCUUUCAAACUAGUAAAAAUAAGCUUCCCAAUCCUCUCACCCAUUGGAAGCUUUGUCUUUACCUGAAUUACCCUCUUCUGUGACAAACUAGUAUCUAAACUCCACCUAAACCCUGAUUAACUCAGGUCCUCCCCAAAAGCACACUGUGAUUAACUCUACAGAAUUCUAAUUGCUUUUUUUUUUACAAGGCAUAUUUACACACUCAGUUUAAUGUUAUUUUACAAAGGUUCUUAAAGUGUUUUUCAAGUACAUGUUUCAGUCACUUAAAAAGAAGUACUUAGUCUUCAAACCUUCUGUUUUAUUUUUGUCCUCUAUUCAAACCAGUACCUGAUUAUAGAAAACAUUACAAAAAUAUUACAUGAUUAUACUAUCUGUAUUUUGAGUGAACAUAUAAUAAUUUGGAUCACUGAUUAAAAUAAUAAAGUUCAUCUUAUUCCCAUAUAUUAUAUCUUAUCUCAGAUUGAAAUUGUCUACCACUUUAUAACUGCCAUCCUUUAUCACCAGCAGCCCAGUCUAUAUUUUUCCAGGACAGUGAGAAGUGCAUUUUUCAGUAAGAAGCAAAAUAUUUAAAAACUACAUUAUAUCCAUUGUUCCUUCCUCAAUUGACUAGGCUUUUCACCCUGUUAGAUAAGUCUGACAGACUUUAUUCUCUAUCAAGCUAUGAUGACUGUUAGCCAAUACUAUAUUCUCUUCAAGAUAUUCUAGGGAUAUAUUCAUGUGACUAUUUAGACUAGAACUGCAAUUUUCCUGGGUCAUUUUUUACUUCAAUACGUAAGUAUAUUUUCUCAUCAAAAAUCAUUACAUGAAUAUAAGCUUAUUGCUACAAAUAAAUCCAAGUAAUGCUAAAGAUUAAAUAAAAAGAAUUCGUCAACCUUCCCACAUCCCACAUAUAUACUUUCCGUAUACAAAGCAUGGAAUUUGAUACCUAUCUUCCAGAUUUUUUCUUAAUGUACUGAGGUUCUAAUAUAUAUGGCAUAUACUUUAUGUCUUUAUGGUAUAAAUAGUAUAAAAAUGUAUUGUAUGGAUGUAAACAUAUACAUUCAUAAACAUUGCAUACUUAUUAUUCUGUCCAUUUUUUACAUAAAUGAAAUCAUAGUGUGCAUAUUAUUUUGUGAUGUGCUUUUCAACCUAGCUUAUCUUAGAGAUCUUUCCAUGGAUUUAAACUAUAAAUCUAAGUUUUGCAUGGUUGUUUUUCAUUCUUAUCUUCAGAUACACUUGAGAGUAUUUCCCAACUUUUUUUUUUCUUAUGAGACAGAGUCUUGCUCUGUUACCCAGGCUGAAGUGCA
RNAcentral lists this long non-coding RNA (8767 nucleotides) under Homo sapiens (human). RNAcentral's name for it is "HSALNT0306427". Lineage: Eukaryota; Metazoa; Chordata; Mammalia; Primates; Hominidae. The record is from RNAcentral.